Molecule: long non-coding RNA, 225 nt
Filed under: Carica papaya (papaya)
Lineage: Eukaryota; Viridiplantae; Streptophyta; Magnoliopsida; Brassicales; Caricaceae
Description: long non-coding RNA (CPAP_LNC000211)
Source: RNAcentral
CCAUACCGGACGGGGUAUGGAGAUCUUAUGUGUUUUGGCGCCCAUACCGGACGGGGUAUGGGGACGGCCCGUUUCACCCUCAUACCGGACGGGGUAAUGAGGUUUAUAGUUUUAGCGCCCAUACCGGACGGGGUAUGGGGACGGCCCUGGAAUAUGAUUUCAAGUGUUAAGGGUUAACGGGUAGCGGGACCCCUAUGGAUCCCCAUGGAUACUAGUGGGCUGGUA